GUAAGUUCCGACCUGCACGAAUGGUGUAACCAUGGCCACGCUGUCUCCACCCGAGACUCAGUGAAAUUGAAAUCGCGGUGAAGAUGCCGUGUACCCGCGGCUAGACGGAAAGACCCCGUGAACCUUUACUAUAGCUUCACAGUGAACUUUGAGCAUGUUUGUGUAGGAUAGCUGGGAGGCUUUGAAGUGGGAACGCCAGUUCUCAUGGAGCCAACCUUGAAAUACCAGCCUGACAUGUUUGAGGUUCUAACUUGGUCCCCUUAUCGGGGAUGAGGACACUGUGUGGUGGGUAGUUUGACUGGGGCGGUCUCCUCCCAAAGAGUAACGGAGGAGUACGAAGGUACACUCACCAUGGUCGGAAAUCAUGGAGUGCGUAUAAAGGCAGAAGUGUGCUUGACUGCGAGCCCGACGGGGCGAGCAGGGUCGAAAGACGGUCUUAGUGAUCCGGUGGUUCUGAAUGGAAGGGCCAUCGCUCAACGGAUAAAAGGUACUCCGGGGAUAACAGGCUGAUACCGCCCAAGAGUUCACAUCGACGGCGGUGUUUGGCACCUCGAUGUCGGCUCAUCACAUCCUGGGGCUGAAGCCGGUCCCAAGGGUAUGGCUGUUCGCCAUUUAAAGUGGUACGCGAGCUGGGUUUAGAACGUCGUGAGACAGUUCGGUCCCUAUCUGCCGUGGGUGUAGGAUACUUGAGAGGAGUUGCCCCUAGUACGAGAGGACCGGGGUGAACGAUCCACUGGUGGACCUGUUGUCGUGCCAACGGCAGUGCAGGGUAGCUAUGAUCGGACAGGAUAACCGCUGAAGGCAUCUAAGCGGGAAGCCCCCCUCAAAACAAGGUAUCCCUGAGGACCGUGGUAGACCACCACGUCGAUAGGCCGGAGAUGUAAGCGCAGCAAUGCGUUCAGUUGACCGGUACUAAUUGUCCGAUAGGCUUGAU
RNAcentral lists this ribosomal RNA (934 nucleotides) under uncultured Chlorophyceae. RNAcentral describes it as "partial Bacterial large subunit ribosomal RNA". It matches the Rfam family "Bacterial large subunit ribosomal RNA", at positions 1976 to 2925 of the family's 2925-position model. The record is from RNAcentral. Lineage: Eukaryota; Viridiplantae; Chlorophyta; Chlorophyceae.